Long non-coding RNA from Poeciliopsis prolifica (blackstripe livebearer), 257 nucleotides. RefSeq lists it as uncharacterized. The record is from RefSeq and is a predicted model, not a curated record. Lineage: Eukaryota; Metazoa; Chordata; Actinopteri; Cyprinodontiformes; Poeciliidae. The transcript is spliced from 3 exons.
ACACAGUGACGUCAGUUCCAAAGCGCUAUUGUGUCAGACUCAUCUCCCGCUGAAGAGGAUCCAGCGACAUCAAGAGAUUACGGAAAAUCACGCGAGAUAACUGGCUUGCACCUUGUUGGGUUUUUUCAAGGGCAGAGGGGAGAUUCCUGGCGUGCAUCUACUUAAUUUGAAGAAGAACAUCACCUGAUCACCUGUCUGUAAUCCACCUGCGAAGACACUGCUGAGGUCAGACGAGAGUGCAUCCUCAAAGGUCUGUG